AUUGUCGAACCUGCCUAGCAGAACGACCCGAGAACAUGUUUCAACGCUGGGGGGCGGAGGGUCUUGCGGCUCUGCGCCCCCUUAUCCUAGGAGGCAAGUGUCUUGCGUGUUGCAUUUCGGUGCUUCCGCUUGAUCGACCCUCCCAGGCGUACUGAACACCGGCGUGAAUUGCGCCAAGGAACUUGAAUGAAAGAGCGUUCCCCCGCCGUCCCGGAGACGGUGCUCGUGCGGGUGGUUUCGUCGUCUUCAAUAUGUCUAAACGACUCUCGGCAACGGAUAUCUCGGCUCUCGCAUCGAUGAAGAACGUAGCGAAAUGCGAUACUUGGUGUGAAUUGCAGAAUCCCGUGAACCAUCGAGUCUUUGAACGCAAGUUGCGCCCGAAGCCAUUAGGCCGAGGGCACGUCUGCCUGGGCGUCACACGUCGUUGCCCCCCCCAACCCCUCGGGAGUUGGAUGGGACGGAUGAUGGCCUCCCGUGUGCUCAGUCACGCGGUUGGCAUAAAUACCAAGUCCUCGGCGACCAACGCCACGACAAUCGGUGGUUGUCAAACCUCGGUUUCCUGUCGUGCGCGCGUGUUGAUCGAGUGCUUUCUUAAACAAUGCGUGUCGAUCCGUCGAUGCUUACAACGCGACCCCA
RNAcentral lists this ribosomal RNA (636 nucleotides) under Rosa hybrid cultivar. Its description in RNAcentral is "eukaryotic LSU rRNA". The stretch from base 262 to 417 matches the Rfam family "5.8S ribosomal RNA". Lineage: Eukaryota; Viridiplantae; Streptophyta; Magnoliopsida; Rosales; Rosaceae. The record is from RNAcentral.